CACGCCAAGUUAGUCCCCGGUGCCGAUAUGAACAACCGUCGAAUAUCGGCAGCGACGAGCCAGCAGCAACGCCAUCGAGAGUUCAGGGAUUAACAGGAUUCAUACAUGAGAACUAUUGGAGGCAGGGAUAUUGCGAGCAGUGUCUCGGCUAAUGAAAUUUUGUUUCACUGACCAGCUGGCUCAACAGUACAACUUUUAUGGAAAGAGAUCGAACAAAAAGCCUUUCUGCCAACUGCGCCUGCGAGAUUGUAUCGUGGAAGGAGUUGUCACCACUACAUCUGGGUCUACAGCUAAAGACGUAGAAGAUUCCAUUAAAAUUUGGCUAAAACAUGCCCCCGAAAGAUUGAAGAAGAUUAAUAAACAACAAUAAACAUGGCAGAGAAAAUAAAAUAUUCGAGAAAAGCCAUAGUUGGCCAACGUCAAUUAUUGAGAAGAGCCAAAGAAGCACAGUUAAAUGUAAUUUCAAAUUUAAAAAAGAGUACUACAACUGUAAGUGCAUCCUCUUCCUUAGUUAAUUUGCCAUGUACUUCAUGUAAUAAUUCUCAAUCUGAAAUUGUAUUCCAAGGUUCUUAGUCCGAGUUCUUAACGGCUAAUAAGUAUGAGAGUACAGUCCCUGCUGGCAGAAAGCAUGAAACUUGGCAUGUAUAUAGCUUAUAGGUUUAUAAGAAAAUAUGGAAGUAGAAACACGCCGAGGUGUCAAUGUUUCCCCUCUUUCCCCCAACUUUUGUAUCCCUGAUUUC
This 740-nucleotide long non-coding RNA is filed under the name Leguminivora glycinivorella. RNAcentral's name for it is "uncharacterized LOC125228991, transcript variant X1". The record is from RNAcentral. Lineage: Eukaryota; Metazoa; Arthropoda; Insecta; Lepidoptera; Tortricidae.